This 253-nucleotide ribosomal RNA is filed under the name uncultured bacterium. Its description in RNAcentral is "partial 16S ribosomal RNA". It matches the Rfam family "Bacterial small subunit ribosomal RNA", at positions 524 to 776 of the family's 1533-position model. The record is from RNAcentral.
UACGUAGGGUGCAAGCGUUGUCCGGAAUUAUGGGGCGUAAAGGGCUCGUAGGCGGUCUGUCGCGUCGGUAGUGAAAACUCAGGGCUUAACCCUGAGCCUGCUUCCGAUACGGGCAGACUAGAGGUAUGCAGGGGAGAAUGGAAUUCCUGGUGUAGCGGUGAAAUGCGCAGAUAUCAGGAGGAACACCAGUGGCGAAGGCGGUUCUCUGGGCAUUACCUGACGCUGAGGAGCGAAAGUGUGGGGAGCGAACAGG